UCGCCUGUUUAUCAAAAACAUCACCCCCUUUAUGGGCAUUACCUGCUCAAUGACUGUAGUUAAAUAGCCAGUUUAUGCUAAGGUAGCAUAAUAAUUUGCUUUAUAAUUAAAAGAUAGAAUGAAUGGUAUUUCUAAAAGUAUUUAUUUUAAAAUAAAAUUGAAUUUUUUUAAAGUUGAAAAUUACUUUAUGAUUUUUUUAGACGAUAAGACCCUAUGAAGCUUUAUUAAAAAAACAAAUUAUGAAUUUAAACUUUAAUUUUUUUGGGGCAAAAAAAAAUUUUGUUAUUUUAAUUUAGUAAAAUUUUGAUCUUCGUGAAUUUUAAGAAAAAGCUACUCUAGGGAUAACAGCAUAAUUUUUAAAAAAGUUCUUAUUAAAAUAAAAGUUUGUGACCUCGAUGUUGA
Molecule: ribosomal RNA, 402 nt
Filed under: Boeckella meteoris
Lineage: Eukaryota; Metazoa; Arthropoda; Copepoda; Calanoida; Centropagidae
Description: partial 16S ribosomal RNA
Source: RNAcentral